Molecule: unclassified non-coding RNA, 267 nt
Filed under: plant metagenome
Description: partial contains small subunit ribosomal RNA, internal transcribed spacer 1, and 5.8S ribosomal RNA
Source: RNAcentral
UUUCCGUAGGUGAACCUGCGGAAGGAUCAUUAUCGUACAAAAUGUGAGGGGCAUGCGAGGGCUGUCGCUGACCCAAAAGUCGUGCACGCCCGAGUGUGUCCUCUUGCAUAAUAAUCCAUCUCACCCUUUGUGCAUCACCGCGUGGGCACCCUUCGGGAUCAUCUCGGGGGGGGGCUCGCGUUUUCACACAAGCCCCCCUUUUAAAAGUGUAGAAUGACCACAUUUAUGCAAUCAAUACAACUUUCAACAACGGAUCUCUUGGCUCUC